This 504-nucleotide ribosomal RNA is filed under the name uncultured bacterium. RNAcentral describes it as "partial 16S ribosomal RNA". It matches the Rfam family "Bacterial small subunit ribosomal RNA", at positions 30 to 523 of the family's 1533-position model. The record is from RNAcentral.
AUUGAACGCUGGCGGCAGGCCUAACACAUGCAAGUCGAGCGGUAGCACAGAGAGCUUGCUCUCGGGUGACGAGCGGCGGACGGGUGAGUAAUGUCUGGGAAACUGCCUGAUGGAGGGGGAUAACUACUGGAAACGGUAGCUAAUACCGCAUAAUGUCGCAAGACCAAAGUGGGGGACCUUCGGGCCUCAUGCCAUCAGAUGUGCCCAGAUGGGUUUAGCUAGUAGGUGGGGUAACGGCUCACCUAGGCGACGAUCCCUAGCUGGUCUGAGAGGAGGACCAGCCACACUGGAACCGAGACACGGUCCGGACUCCUACGGGAGGGAGCAGUGGGGAAUAUUGCACAAUGGGCGCAAGCCUGAUGCAGCCAUGCCGCGUGUGUGAAGAAGGCCUUCGGGUUGUAAAGCACUUUCAGCGGGGAGGAAGGCGUUAAGGUUAAUAACCUUGUCGAUUGACGUUACCCGCAGAAGAAGCACCGGCUAACUCCGUGCCAGCAGCCGCCGUAA